This 596-nucleotide long non-coding RNA is filed under the name Bos taurus (domestic cattle). Its description in RNAcentral is "long non-coding RNA NONBTAT002780". Lineage: Eukaryota; Metazoa; Chordata; Mammalia; Artiodactyla; Bovidae. The record is from RNAcentral.
GUCCUGGCAUCAUUGACAAUGGACUGAUAAAACAGAAUGCUUAUGGUUCAAAAAUUUCACGUAAUCCCUUGCAAGCAAACCAAGGCCGAUUUACGUCAAUCCCAGAUGGUUGAAAAUCUCCCCUAAAGGACACAGCAUUCAACUAUGAAUUUUUAAAACCUUAUUUAAUAAAAGGUUUAAAGAUACAGAAGAACAUUCAAAAGUAAAUAAGUUACAUAGGUACAUUACAAUCACAUCAGCAAGAUUUUCUUUAGUGAAUAUACUUAUUUAUAUGCUAUUAAAAUAUUUGUACAAUAAUUACAGACUGUCAAGGCUGUUCCUGUGCUCUGUCCCCUCCAAGGCCUUCGACUGAGAGACAAAUGAGGAAAAGGUGAAACAGCUGCAAAUUGUUAGAGGCAAAUAUUAACACAGCAAAAAUAUGGGGAGGACAUACAAUUGUUUUAUAAAAAUAUGCAUACUUCCUGUAAACCUAAGAAGUUAGGUUUGCCAGUAUGGUAAUAAAUACCAUCCAAGAAAAGUGAGCCUCAAUAAAAACAUUUAAAUAGCUGAGGCUUGAAUAUGCGUUGUAUUCCUCCUUCAUCUUAACAUCUGGCAUG